AGCCAUACCGCGUGGGUGAAGAAGGCCUUCGGGUUGUAAAGCCCUUUUGUUGGGAAAGAAAUCCAGCUGGCUAAUACCCGGUUGGGAUGACGGUACCCAAAGAAUAAGCACCGGCUAACUUCGUGCCAGCAGCCGCGGUAAUACGAAGGGUGCAAGCGUUACUCGGAAUUACUGGGCGUAAAGCGUGCGUAGGUGGUCGUUUAAGUCCGUUGUGAAAGCCCUGGGCUCAACCUGGGAACUGCAGUGGAUACUGGRCGACUAGAGUGUGGUAGAGGGUAGCGGAAUUCCUGGUGUAGCAGUGAAAUGCGUAGAGAUCAGGAGGAACAUCCAUGGCGAAGGCAGCUACCUGGACCAACACUGACACUGAGGCACGAAAGCGUGGGGAGCAAACAGGAUUAGAUACCCUGGUAGUCCACGCCCUAAACGAUGCGAACUGGAUGUUGGGUGCAAUUUGGCACGCAGUAUCGAAGCUAACGCGUUAAGUUCGCCGCCUGGGGAGUACGGUCGCAAGACUGAAACUCAAAGAAAWUUGACGGAA
RNAcentral lists this ribosomal RNA (538 nucleotides) under Stenotrophomonas sp. NIIST B 505. Its description in RNAcentral is "bacterial SSU rRNA". It matches the Rfam family "Bacterial small subunit ribosomal RNA", at positions 390 to 918 of the family's 1533-position model. The record is from RNAcentral. Lineage: Bacteria; Pseudomonadati; Pseudomonadota; Gammaproteobacteria; Lysobacterales; Lysobacteraceae.